This 467-nucleotide ribosomal RNA is filed under the name uncultured bacterium. RNAcentral's name for it is "partial 16S ribosomal RNA". It matches the Rfam family "Bacterial small subunit ribosomal RNA", at positions 28 to 507 of the family's 1533-position model. The record is from RNAcentral.
GAUGAACGCUGGCGGCGUGCUUAACACAUGCAAGUCGAACGGAAAGGCCCAAGCUUGCUUGGGUACUCGAGUGGCGAACGGGUGAGUAACACGUGGGUGAUCUGCCCUGCACUUCGGGAUAAGCCUGGGAAACUGGGUCUAAUGCCGGAUAGGACCACUUCUUGGAUGUUGUGGUGGAAAGUUUUUUCGGUGUGGGAUGAGCUCGCGGCCUAUCAGCUUGUUGGUGGGGUAAUGGCCUACCAAGGCGUCGCCGGGUAGCCGGCCUGAGAGGGUGUACGGCCACAUUGGGACUGAGAUACGGCCCAGACCCCUACGGGAGGCAGCAGUGGGGAAUAUUGCACAAUGGGCGCAAGCCUGAUGCAGCGACGCCGCGUGGGGGAUGACGGCCUUCGGGUUGUAAACUCCUUUCGCUAGGGACGAAGCGUUUUGUGACGGUACCUGGAGAAGAAGCACCGGCUAACUACGUG